RNAcentral lists this ribosomal RNA (512 nucleotides) under uncultured bacterium. Its description in RNAcentral is "bacterial SSU rRNA". It matches the Rfam family "Bacterial small subunit ribosomal RNA", at positions 28 to 537 of the family's 1533-position model. The record is from RNAcentral.
GAUGAACGCUAGCGGGAGGCUUAACACAUGCAAGUCGAGGGGCAGCACAGGUAGCAAUACUGGGUGGCGACCGGCGGACGGGUGCGUAACGCGUAUGCAACCUACCUUAUACAGGGGGAUAGCCCGGGGAAACUCGGAUUAAUAUUCCAUAGUUCAGUAAAUUCGCAUGGGAUUACUGAUAAAACUCAGGUGGUAUAAGAUGGGCAUGCGUCUGAUUAGGUAGUUGGUAGGGUAACGGCCUACCAAGCCGACGAUCAGUAGGGGUUCUGAGAGGAUCAUCCCCCACACUGGUACUGAGACACGGACCAGACUCCUACGGGAGGCAGCAGUGAGGAAUAUUGGUCAAUGGGCGCAAGCCUGAACCAGCCAUCCCGCGUGAAGGAUGAAGGCCUUAUGGGUUGUAAACUUCUUUUGUACCUGAAGAAACCCUUCUACGUGUAGGAGGUUGCCGGUAAGGUACGAAUAAGCAUCGGCUAACUCCGUGCCAGCAGCCGACGGUAAACUCGUCUCUA